UUUCAUUUCAAUCUUCAAACGCUGAGGAUCAACAGCAGCAGCAGCACCAGCAGCAGUAGGAGCCGCACAGGAGCAACAGAAGCACCAGGAUCGAGGACUCCUCGCAGCGCCAUGUCCAGGCGGCGCUAAGGAGGCUGUUGCAGCAUCUCCACACCGACAGAAGAACAAAAUCAACCAAAUCCACCGCAGCAAGCCCAACAAAAUUCAGUCGAAAAAGUUGCAAAAAUUCUACCGCCGAAUGUCAGAUUAAUUUGUAUAAAAAGAAACCCAAGUACCAACAAGCCAAACGAACAAUUUGCGAAAAUUGUUAAUGUGAAACUUACACAUUUUCGUGAUAUGGUUAAAGUAUAACAUAAAUACUAAACACAACAAGGCAAAAGCCUAAGUUUAAGCAAAAAUUUAACCAAAUUCAAAAAAAUCAAUGUCAGCGAAAUAACACAUGAAAUCAAAGCAUAAUUGAAAUAUUUUCACCACACACAACCACGAUACCAUCUUGGAUUAAUAAUAAUUCCAAAAAUAACUAAAAACCAAAUUCCAAAGUACCAUCGAAAAUUAAGGAAAGCUGAUAUCCAAGAAAAUUGUAAUUCGCCUGAAACCAAUUGGAACCCCAGAAUCUGAAGAAAGGAAAGCUAUUAUGGAUCGAGCAGUAACCAUAUGUCUUGCAUCCGGAUCAAACUCACAUCCCCAUCAACGAAAUUGUUAUGAAACUCAACAAAAUUCUUAAGUGUUUACUGCUCAUAAUUCUCUACUGCAAUGACAAUCUCGCCAAGAACGAAAUUCAAAAUCCAAACUGCUAUCAAAAUCGAAUCGAAAUUCCCAACCAGCCAAACUGCCAGUGUCUUAAGCAACUGCCACGCCCCGUCGCAGCCCAACGAAGAGUCCUGUGCCCCAAGCAAAAAAUCCGGCCAGCAAAUCACACCGAAAUCCGACAGAAACUGCAAGGAAGGAAACCAAAAUUCAAGUCCAGGCGCAAACCAAAUAUCCAAGUACACUUUUGCUGGGGCCAAAGCCGACAAAGCUGAUGAUGAUGAACUCGAUGGCGAGGAGAAGGAUCGAGCAUUUGACGGCGAAAGGAGCAGAAGGACGAAAUGGAGCAGCGACGCCGACGCCGGCAGAAGCAGCAGAUAAUCAAGAGAAAGGAGAAAGCUGCCCCGCCGUAGAUAUCCAGCUGAAUAUCUAAGCAGGGGCAGUGAUUUACCCCAAGCAGCAAAAGCCACCCCUCGACAGGAAGCACACACACAUACAGCCCACAUCCUGCGGCGAAUUCACAAACAAGCACACACCGAGACACAGACAGAGAGAGAGAGAGUGAGAGAGAGCCGAAGCAGCAGCAAAGAGAGAGAGAGCGACUGAGUGCCCACCUUUUACUCUCCGAAUUUCGCAAGUAUGUUUUGACUACUGUUUAGAAUCUAAUUUCAAAAACAGAUUUGAGUAACCCCACUGGAGCCUUACUAAGUAAAAUUCCAAAAACAAAGAAUUCCAAUCACAUUUAAAAGUAUGCAAAUUCAAAAACCUAAAACCGAGCCAAAGGUGAGCCUCAUUUCACUCUCGUCAGCAGCCCAGAAGCAAAAUUUCAAAAUCCCACCGACACAACUCAAAAUCCAAAAACGAACUCUUCUUCUACGGCAUCGCAGAAGGCUUCAUUUCCAGAAGGCAAAGAAAGUAUCCCUGAAUAUCUUAUUUUCGUUAUUCAACCAAAGAGUUCGCCCCUGCCCCGCCAAAUUCCACACACACAAUGCAAUAGUUUAUCAUUUUGUGUCCCAAAACGCAAAUCGAAUGAAUACAAAUUCCAAAUUCGCGUUUCGUCAUUACAAAUCUUUAGUUAAACCACAAUAUAUUAAUGCAAAAAUCAAGCAAAUGCCAAAAGACAGUUUCGCAUGGCCCAGAGCUUUAGGCGCAAAUCAACCACCCAGCCACACUCACUCACACUCACACACACACACACACACACACUUUAGGAAACACACACACACGCGCAGGGGUAUGCUCACCCAUACACUCACCCAUCAAACACUCACACCCCUUUGGCAAUAAAAUGGCUGCAAAGGAAGCUGCUUCUACGAUUCCCAAGAAGAAAAGAAAUAGCCUGACCCCCCAAAAAGUUCGAUAGGAAAAUACAACGAAAGCGAGUUAUAGGUUAUAGGUUAGCGAAAGGACUAUAGCCAAACCAAACUCCAGUUAAACAACUCAAGCAUUUCUCAGCGCUUUCAAUAUUUCGUUGACAUUUUCAUUAAAGAAAGCAAAGGCGUUGCGGCAUUAUUUAAUCACACGUUUUUGAAAAUUUCAAAGAAAUAUUUAAUGCGCCAGAAGUGCUGAUAGAAAUUUGUACAGCAAACGACAGUACAAAACCCCAGGAAGUCAUUUAAGCCACCCCCAACCCUUAAGUACUCAAAAAUGUCUUCUGGUCAUUGACUUAGAAACAACUUCGACCGACCAAACCAACAUUCAAACGCAAACCUCAUUACGAUUAGUUCAGACAAAUCGAAAUCAAUAUACUGCCAAGCUUAUUCUAAAUACUACAUUCCGGUUAAAAAAUAGAAUCAUUUUUAAAAUAUCUUUGGUUUAUUUACCCACGCUUUAAAUUUACCAAAACGCGAUAUCACAACUAUUACAAUCACGAAAUUGCAAAAAUCGAUCCAAAUUCAAAAAAAGUUUUGCUUACACUAAAAAUAAUCGAACUUUAUUAUCCAAAUCAAGCCAAACAAAUUAAAUUCAUGAAAAUCUGUAAAAUACAAUCUCAAAAAACUUUGUUUUUGAAAAUAUUUUUUCAAAACUUCUUAUUCAAAUUCAACAUCAAAACAACUAAAUUAAAGCUCAUGUAUUACUCCUAAAUUUAAAAAGAAAAUAAUUAAAUUUAACUGGUCUACUAAAUUCAAAAAUAACACAUUUUUAGUAAAAAUGAAAAAAUUACAUUUUUCCGACAACACACUGAAGAAUUUUUAAAAAUAUUUAAAAAAUCCAAAUCGACAAUAAUUUUAUUAUUCGCUAUGCAUCAUGAAAAUAUAAAUCACGCAUCCAAAUUCAAAAAUAAUAUUCAAUUCAAAAAAACUACACUUAAAUUUUAAACCAAACUCAAAUUCUAAAACAAUAUAAGCCAACAAUUUAAAAGAAUUAAAUUAUUUUUUAUGACAGUACUGGAAAAUAUAAUGCACACACUAAAAAUAAAUCUUAAUUUUCAAAUUUCUGACAAAAUUCAAAAUUUAAAAUUUAAGAAAUCAUCCAAAAAAUUUUUGUUGUAUAAAAAUUGAUUGCACGAUAGAAAUUCAAAAUGAAAUAGAAUCAAAUAAUUCAAAAUCCGAAAAGGUUUUACUAUAAAAUCAAAGAGCAUAAAAUUGACAAAAUUCAAUCAAAAUCAAACCGUUAAAAGUCACAUAAAUAUCUACCAAAAUUCAAAAUCAAAAAAGAAAAACUACCAAAUUAAAAACUGCAAAAUUAAAGAUCAAUUCAAAUUAAGAUUACAACCAUAUAAAAUAUCUAAUUCCAAAUCAGCAAAAUGAAUUAUCGCGUAAUUCUAAAUUACAAAUGUAAAAAUCUGUUUCAAAAUCAAGCACAUAAAAUUAAAUUCAAAAGCUAUUUAUUGUAAAUAUCAUAACCAAAUUCCAAAUCAAAUCAAAAUUCUAAAAUCAUUAUAUCAUUGCAAACAAAAACAUAUCAGCAUAUCAAGCAAAGAAAUGUCAAUGUUUGAUUAUCUAUAUAUUAUAAAAACUCAAACCAAGAAAUACAUCAAAAUCAAUCAAAAACCGCAGUUAAAAACAAAAUACAAAAUUUAUUUCUAACUUAUUUAAAUUCAAAAAGAGCAAAAACAACAAGAGCAAGACAUUAUACGAACAAAUAUUUAAAAGCAAAAGUUCGAACCGAAUUCAAAAUCAAUAUCCCAAAUAAUUUAGUUGAGUUCUUCAAAAUUGUUUAAAAUUUUAAUAUUUCUAAAAAUUUAUUUUUAUAAAAUUUAUUUUCAAAAACACCAAGUAAAAUGUCAGAUUCAAAUAUUUUAAAAAUCACUGCCUUUAAUAGUUAGUUUCAUUUCAUGAAACUUCAUGUUUCAUUCAAAACAGAGACUAUUCUUCAUUAAUUACAAAUUUUAUGAAAUUAUUUCACAACAAGUUAAAAAAAAAUAACAAAAAGCCCUAUUGGAAUAACAAUAAAAUUAAAAUUUCAUAUUAUACUCUUAAUUACACAGUUAUGAAAAUAGAACAAUCAAAACACACAUUUAGUUUCUAAAUUUGAGUUUCAAAAAGAAACAAAAUGAAGAUAGCUAGUUUCAUAAAUAUUUAUUCAGACUGAAAACUAUGAACUACAACAAAAAUUUGUAAUGAUUGCAAUUCAAAAGGCGAUGAAACCAGUUCUGAGAAAAUUAUAUAUAUAAAUUGACAAAAGAUUUACCGUUGUAAAUAUUCAAUCAAAUUAGAGUCUUAAUGCAUCAGGAAAUUUUUGGAGUAAAGAAACAUUUUGAAUUAAAAUUCACUAUUUAUGCAAUUAUGGAAACGUUUUAUCCGGUAAAGAACGGAACAAACCGCAAUACAAAAAUCAAAAAUUUAGAAAAAGUAUAAUUAAAACAAAAACUGAAUAUAAUUUAGAUCAAAAAAAUUCACUUUCUUUCACAACUUUAGAAACUUUUCUUUUACAUUUCAUUUACAUUAUUAGUUUUUCGAAAUAUUCUCGUAAGGUAACUACUUCCAGUCUUUUUUUUUAAAUUUAGACUCCUUUUCAAAUUAUUUAGCUCAAUUUAACAAAUUUAAAACAUGUGCCACCAUUUUACAAUUUGCUCAAUACUUUUUCACAAUUAAAAUGGUCUAGAAAACCAAAAUUACCCGAUUUGAAUCUCAAAAGAAAUCCAAAUGCCUUAAAUAACACAAUUUAUACGUGCAUUCUACAAAAUAUUAAAACCAAUCAUAUUAGAAAUAUUAUUCAUUUUAAUCUAAAUUGUAUUAAAUUUCUUUUAUUCUUUUAUUAAACAAAAAGGUUUCCCUUUUCAAAAUAAUAAUAACAUAUCUAAAUUACUUUAUUUUAGAACCAGACAAACCAAAUCCAAAAAUCCAAAUUCAACUUUCGGCUCCUCUGGCAAUCAUCAAAUUUGAAAACCGAAAACCAAAAUUCAACUCAAAAUUGAACCACACCCCGGCCACAAAAUUCAAUAUUCAGACCAAAAUUUAAUUUAAAGCAUUUAUCAGACCAGGUAAUCAAAACUCUAUCCAAAAUCACACAAAGCAGCAUAGUAUUUAAAAACAAUCAAAAUGACAAUAAGAAUAAGUGCACAUUCAAAAGUCCAACCAAACCAAUGCCAAAUUAAAUAAGUCAAAAAAAAAAAAAACAACAAAUCCUGUUCAAAAGUCGCAGCAUUUCGAGGAACCUUCGGUGCAUAAUUAUUACCACAUUAAGAUGAUUAAGUAUUCGCAGCCCACCCAUUAAAUUGAGAAAACAAAACCGAGCCGCCAAAAAUUCAAAAACAAGAGCGAAAAAAAGAAGUGCAGCUAAAUUUCAAAAGCCAGUAUUAUAAAUUACAAGAAACUGCGGAAGUUUUAAUGCGACAAAUGUCAGGAGCAAAAACGCAGGCCGCCGCCGAAAGGCACCAAAAAUUCCGAGCUGGAGCUGGCGAAGAAGACGCGACAGGAACAGGAUAAUGGUUAGGGAAACUCCUGGCAACUUUCUGGCCAAAAUCUUAGAAAUGGCGGCCAAAGGGCGCGGCGAGCGGAGAGCGGCCAAAGGGCAGAUAAAUCACAGCGAAACAAAACAAUUCCCAGCUCUCGUGAAAAUUCCAAAUCCACAAGAACAAAAACUGAAACCGAAACUGAAACUGAAUCUGAAUCUGAGAGCACUGUAUACUGUAAACUAUAACAAAAACCGAAACCGAAACAAAAACAAAGGCACGCGAUUUCAAAGAAGAGGGUUGCUAGACCAGUAACCAAAAUCAGUUGAGCCGGCAAAAUCAGAAUCCCAGGCCAGCAGUCCAGUCCAGUCCAGUCCAGUCCAGUCCAGUCCAUACUCAAAAGAUUCCACGAUGACCAUGACCACUUUGAUCCGCCCCCAGGAGAGACCGAAUCCUCAAGCCCAUUACUUUCGCCCGAAGGCCGCCGCACAAAAAUCACAAAUUUGAAGACAAACUGCAACUUAACCCAAAUCCAAUUCGUAAUCAAAAUCAUUAUCAAAAUCAAAAUCAGAAACUCAAACUCAAACUCAAAAUGAAGGCAUCAGCAGCAUGGCCAGCAGAACCGCAACUUUAAAUAAUAUUCGGCACGAGUGUCACGAGCACAGCUAAAACACUUGAAACUCGAAACUUAAAACUCCAGGCACCCAAACUCCCAUUCUGAAAUUGUGGUCAGACUUGGUUUCUUUGGCAAAAGUUCGAACCAUCAUCAUAGCAUCAUGCAGCUGAAAGCACAUCAAACAAAACUCCAAAUUUAUAUAAACUACUGGCAAUAGCCGAGGUCGAGGCAUAAUUGCCAUCAAUAAAUAAAAUAUGGCUGGCAUGAGCAUGAGGUCCCCUCAUAAGCAGACCCUCAGCCAAGAAGACAGGACACCCAAUCCGAGCAAGAGACCCCGACCCAUCCUCCGCAGCAGCCAGUCAAUGGCCACUAGACAGCAGAACGUUUUGAUUUAUAAAUUCAUGGCAAAAGUUGCCCGGCCAAGUGGCAGCCGCCGACUAUGACGACACAUACACCGACUAACUAUCCAACCAUCCAGCCAGCCAGCCAUCCAACCAACCAGCCAACCAACCAACCAACUUACCAACCAACCACCCAGAGACUUGGCAAACAAGAAACUGCAAAAACCGUCUUAUGAAAUUACACAUUUCCGACUUGUACUAGUAGAAAAUCCCUCGAAAUCACCCAAGCCGAAGCCCAAAAAGAAAAAACCAAAUUCAAGCAAAUUCAAGCAACCAAAUUUACAACGAAGUAGCAGUUAUAGUAGCUCCAACCUCCCCUCCGACAAAUCCGGCACAGAAAUUUAGUUAUGAAUUUUAUUUACACACAAGAACAUUUCUAGAGAGCAGCAUCUUCCCACCUUUGGCUAGUAGGACUACGAUAAAACAAAAAAAAUUUAAAGAACAUAUUUACCAAAAAAGUUUCGGGCAAUUUGGAAAUUUGCAAAAAUCAUUGAGACAAACGCGAGAAGCACCCACGAAGAGUAGCAAAUGGAAUCUUGUACAAUAGUUCUAUUGAAAGACAUUCGAAAUGAAAGAAAAGCAAAGAAAGCUAGAAAAGCAUAUCCUUCCCGGCCAGAUCUACGCAAAGAGAGAGACAGAUAGAGAUAGAUAGAGAGAGACAGCCAAACAAAAGGACAGGUAGUAUGCGAGUAUAGCAUAUAUGCAUAUAUUCCAUAGCCAGAACAGGAGUAAAAGGACCACAAUCGCGAAAAGUUAACAUUUCGGACACAAGGUUGGGGAUACCUAGUGUAAUUGCUUAGACUUAAGAGUGUUGCACUAAGCCAAGUGCAGUGCCGACUGACCCCGCCCACAACAACGCCCCCCGUUGAGCAAAAAAAAAAAACCGUAGAUAAUGGAAAUUUCCCAUCGGGCAGACCAAAAAGAUACAUCUUAGGCCUCUUUAGACCCAAAUGAAACAAAAUGAAGACCUAAAGAAAUGAAGAAAGAACAGGAACUACGAUUAAGCGCGAAUUGUACCACGUAACUACACUUUGUAUCCCCUUAGUUAAGCUAAAAUUAUUCGAGAUAUAUACGAGAAAUUGCACAAAAAAAAAACGCACAAAAUGCUAAAGAAAGGAAAACUAAUGUAGAUAAUGCCAAUCCUUUUGUCUAAAAUUUCAACUCUUGGAAAUUUCGCAAUUGAAUUGCGGAAUAUUUUAGACGAAACGAUUGCCGCAUUUUUUAUGUGAUUUUAUACACACAAUUCAUUUGCACACAGAAGUAUAAUUAUCUAUAUUUUAUUUCGAUAAUCUCCCUACACUAUCAUUAUCGUCGUCAGAUUCAAUUUCUUAUAUUUUUUUUUUCGACACAUGUGAUAAGCGAAAAUGUUAAGCAAAACAUUGGAAAAACGAAUUUCAACCAGGACAAAAAAAAGAACCAAAAUCAAAACUGUGUUAAUCAAUCUUUGAUAGAUCUACAAAAAAAAUUUAAGUUUCAAUAAGUAAGCUAAAAAUACGAGUUUAAUGUAUACAAAAGUAUCAUUUGGCACAAAUCCAUCAAAAUCACAAUUAAUCCUUUAUACGAAUAUAUAUUAUUUAAAUUGUUAUUUCAACCGUACAACCUCAAAAACACAUAAAUAUUGUAAACAUUAGAAAUAGCGAGAUUAAAAAAAUACCAAACAAAAAUCAAUAAAAUUGUACAAGCCAAUUUGCUCUAAUAACAAAACAAUAC
Molecule: non-coding RNA, 8311 nt
Organism: Drosophila melanogaster (fruit fly)
Lineage: Eukaryota; Metazoa; Arthropoda; Insecta; Diptera; Drosophilidae
Source: Ensembl